RNAcentral lists this ribosomal RNA (254 nucleotides) under uncultured bacterium. RNAcentral's name for it is "partial 16S ribosomal RNA". It matches the Rfam family "Bacterial small subunit ribosomal RNA", at positions 524 to 776 of the family's 1533-position model. The record is from RNAcentral.
UACGUAGGUGGCAAGCGUUGUCCGGAUUUACUGGGCGUAAAGGAUGCGUAGGCGGAUACUUAAGUCAGAUGUGAAAAAUCCCGAGCUUAACUUGGGAACUGCAUUUGAAACUGGGUAUCUAGAGUGCGGGAGAGGUAAGUGGAAUUCCUAGUGUAGCGGUGAAAUGCGUAGAGAUUAGGAAGAACACCAGUGGCGAAGGCGACUUACUGGACCAUAACUGACGCUGAGACGCGAAAGCUAGGGGAGCAAACAGG